RNAcentral lists this long non-coding RNA (443 nucleotides) under Rosa chinensis. RNAcentral's name for it is "sRNA RchiOBHm_Chr3g0478951". The record is from RNAcentral. Lineage: Eukaryota; Viridiplantae; Streptophyta; Magnoliopsida; Rosales; Rosaceae.
CGAGCUCUAUCUCGACUCUCGACCUCCUUUCUGAACCAUACUCGAGCUCCUCGUCCUCAGUCGCCGCCAUUGUUACCCUCAUCGCCUCCUUCAUCUACCUCCUCGGCUUCGUCUAGUCCUUCAUCUCACGCGCCUCCCACUACGACGACGAGGUGCUCAUCAACUGCCACUGCUGCCCUCCCCCAGCCAAACCCAAAUUCGUCCACACUGACCCCUCAUUGUGCUUCUAGGAGGACAAGGACAUCAUCCAAGCCGUUCUAAAUGGCGGCGUUCCUUCUUAGUCUCUCGAAUCGAAGCUCGGCGACUGCAAUAUCAUAGCGGCGAUUCGAUGCGAGUGGCUUCAGAGAACGACUGGGAGGUCACUGUAGGGUUUACCUCUCGAAGGUUUCGAUUACUACUCCAUUCUUGGACAGUGCUACGAGUCGCCGGUCGGAGACGAAGUA